This 492-nucleotide ribosomal RNA is filed under the name uncultured bacterium. RNAcentral's name for it is "partial 16S ribosomal RNA". It matches the Rfam family "Bacterial small subunit ribosomal RNA", at positions 29 to 507 of the family's 1533-position model. The record is from RNAcentral.
AGUGAACGCUGGCGGUAGGCCUAACACAUGCAAGUCGAACGGCAGCACAGUAAGAGCUUGCUCUUACGGGUGGCGAGUGGCGGACGGGUGAGGAAUACAUCGGAAUCUACUUUUUCGCGGGGGAUAACGUAGGGAAACUUACGCUAAUACCGCAUACGACCUACGGGUGAAAGCAGGGGAUCUUCGGACCUUGCGCGAUUGAAUGAGCCGAUGUCGGAUUAGCUAGUUGGCGGGGUAAAGGCCCACCAAGGCGACGAUCCGUAGCUGGUCUGAGAGGAUGAUCAGCCACACUGGAACUGAGACACGGUCCAGACUCCUACGGGAGGCAGCAGUGGGGAAUAUUGGACAAUGGGCGCAAGCCUGAUCCAGCCAUACCGCGUGGGUGAAGAAGGCCUUCGGGUUGUAAAGCCCUUUUGUCGGGAAAGAAAAGCAGCAGGUUAAUACCCCGCUGUUCUGACGGUACCCAAAGAAUAAGCACCGGCUAACUUCGUG